GUUAAAACCACGGUGUAUCAAUUGCAUUAACCUUGCAGUUCAGCUCUCCUACAGAAAGGCAAAUUAAAAUGAACUUCCCAAAAUGGAAAACAAUUUUUAAAAUGGGGAAAAAACACCUUUGUUUUGCUUCCUGCUUUGUGGCUCCCAUUGGCAGUGUCGGACUUUGGGCUUUAACAUUUCAGUGGCGCCCUGUGUGACACCCAAACUCAGACCCCCACCCAGCCUCUCACCUUCAUUGUUACAGCACCCUCUGCAGCACCCUCUUGGCUUGACCCUAGUGCAGGCAAACCAAUCACGCUCCCCUAAAUCCACCUCUGUUGUUGAUGGAGCAAUGCCAGCAGUCAGAGUUCAACUUUAUUCACUGGUGCAACUGGCAAACACAGUUGAGGAUCAAUUGGUUGAACUCAUUGUUAAUGAAGGGUUACAGCUCUGUUUGCUUCUAAAACAAGCAAGGCAAGUCCAUUUUCCUGUGCCUGGCAGCAACCAUCAGAGGCAUUGACCUGCUGGGCAGGAUACAAUGAGCUUCUGCUUUCCCACUCUGCCAAACCAGAAUUAUGGCAUCAGUGACCUGGACUUCUGCUCUCAGCUCAGGGUUCGUCCACACUUCCACUUGUUCUGUGCCUAGAAAGUACAGGGCUGGGUGGUUUUCUGCUUAAACUAUGCUUUCUUGGCAAGUGUCCAAGUGGUUUUGCCUCUCCUCCACUGCUUUCUCCUGGAAAACAUCAAUCCAGAGAAAACCCAGCAGACAUUUGCUCCGAUUCAGCAGUCAAUAGCGGGGGGGGGGGGGGUUCCCAGAGGAAAGCAGCAGUGUGGAUGAGUCCUCAAGCAGGCUGAUGCUCAUUGGAACUGAUAGGGUGGGAGGCAGGGAGCCCAACAGUAGGUGGCGCCAGAGCCAAUGAUAGGCAGUGCCAGCUAUCUCUAGCUUUGUCUCCAACCUACUCCCAACAGUGUGACAACACUGAGACUAAGGAGGAGGAAGCUGACAGGCUGUGCUGUCCCAUGAACUGUUUGUAAGAAAUGGAGCAGGCAGGUGGUGUGGGGCUGAGAGAGGGCAGACUGGGGUUGGGGGGCAGUGCUCCAUUUGUCCCAAUGCACCAGGCCCCUUUUACUCCAACUGAUGUAGCUGGAGAAAGACGAUACUUUUAAAGAGAGCUGGAGGAAGUAUGAGAGGGACUUCAUAUUGCAUGGGGAGCCCACAGGUUUCUUUUGCCCCGCUGUUACUUCUAGCCUUUUCCUGAAAUACCAAGAAAAACAUCCAAGAAAUUUUAGCAGAAGGGAACAUAGGGUGAAUGUACACACUGCGCAUGACAUUCCAGUGUGGUGUAGUGGUUAAGAGCGGUAGACUCGUAAUCUGGGGAACCGGGUUCACUUCCCCGCUCCUCCACAUGCAGCUGCUGGGUGACCUUGGGCCAGUCACACUUCUCUGAAGUCUCUCAGCCCCACUCACCUCACAGAGUGUUUGUUGUGGGGGAGGAAGGGAAAGGAGAGUGUUGGCCACUUUGAGACUCCUUCAGGUAGUGAUAAAGCGGGAUAUCAAAUCCAAACUCUUCUUCUUCUUCAUUCAAACCACUUUCAAGACACAGGGUGAGGGGAAAAUGGGUUGGAUCCACAGGUGGAAGUGGUUUUUAUUCAGCAGAAGCACCUAUGAAGGUGAGAAGGGAGGAGAGACCAUGGGGUUGCGGCACUCAUCUCACUUUCAGGCCGAGGGUGCAGGCGUUUGUCCACAGACAGCUUUCCGGGUCAUGUGGCCAGUAUGACUAAACUGAUUCUGUCGCAACAGGACGCCGUGACUGAAACCAGAGCACAUGGAAACGCCAUUUACCUUCCCACUGCAGCUAUACCUAUUCAUCUACUUGCACUGGUGUGCUUUCGAACUGCUAAGAGCUGAGACAGAACGACGGAAGCUCACCACCAUCAAGCAGAUUCAAACUGCUGACCUCCUGAUCAGCAAGCCCAAGAGACUCAGUGGUUUAGACCACAGCGCCACCCACGUCCCCAUGUAUACCUAAAGUGGACUUUUUGCUGGUAUGCUUCAGCCCCUGGCUGACCACCAAAGUGACUCUCGGACCCCCAAAGGCUAGCCUUCAACAAAGGAUUAACCUUCAUUACAGAUCUGUAGUUUGAAUCAAGCAAAGCUUACCUUGAACCUGAACUUUUCAGGGGUAUUUUCACUUUCUCCAAGAUCCCUUCCAACUCAAACACUAUGUGAUUGCAAUGGAACUCUUUAUCCUGGGUUUCCCCAUGUUCGGCAGACACUUUUGAGAGGUUUCAUUUGGUAUGGGACCACUAUGUUUGACAGCACUUCAACAAGGAUUGUCAUGCCAGUCAAAGGACUCAAUUCAGCCAUGGAUUCAAUUCCAUCUAAAACAGCCAAUGCAUUUGGUCCCAUUGAUUUCAGUGGGAGAGUCCAAGGUUGGCUGGGUCAUCAUGACCCAUAUUGAAAUACAUAUUUGAUAUUCAGUGUGUUUUCUACACUUAAAAACUCUCAUCACUGCAUGGCACCUGAAUUACAAGCGUAUUUUGAUUGUUUUGCUUAACUUCAUAUGUUUAAGAACACGUAGAAAACUAUUCCACAGCUUCAGUUGCUCAACCUUUUCCUUCCCAAACAAAAGAAUCUGUUUUAUCUAUUUCUUCUAGCUAAAGUUGAUCUGCACUUGUUUACCACGAAAGGUGAAUGUUACCUCUAUAAGGCAGCACCAAUCUGAAGGCUAUUUCAGCUCCAUGAAAGCACAUCUCAAAAUUAAUCAUUCAG
Molecule: non-coding RNA, 2752 nt
Organism: Podarcis lilfordi (Lilford's wall lizard)
Lineage: Eukaryota; Metazoa; Chordata; Lepidosauria; Squamata; Lacertidae
Source: the annotation of a GenBank genome assembly